GCCAGGCGCAGUGGCGCAUGCCUAUGGUCUCAGCUACUACCCAGGAGGCUGAGGCGGGAGGAUUGCUUGAGUCCAGGAGUUCUGGGCUGUAGUGCGCUAUGUUGAUCGGGUGUCAGCACUAAGUUUGGCAUCAAUAUGGUGACCUCCUGGGAGUGUGGGACCACCAGGUUGCCUAAGGAGCGGUGAACCGGCCCAGGUUGGAAAUGGAGCAGGUCAAAACUCCCUUGUUGAUCAGUAGUGGGAUCGCACCUGUGAAAGCCACUGCACUCCAGCCUGGGCAACAUAGUGAGACCCUGUCUCUA
Molecule: unclassified non-coding RNA, 302 nt
Organism: Callithrix jacchus (white-tufted-ear marmoset)
Lineage: Eukaryota; Metazoa; Chordata; Mammalia; Primates; Cebidae
Rfam family: Metazoan signal recognition particle RNA
About the family: The signal recognition particle (SRP) is a universally conserved ribonucleoprotein.
Source: Ensembl